Molecule: long non-coding RNA, 261 nt
Filed under: Mytilus galloprovincialis (Mediterranean mussel)
Lineage: Eukaryota; Metazoa; Mollusca; Bivalvia; Mytilida; Mytilidae
Source: RNAcentral
UGGGUUAAAUUAUAAUAUUACGUAUUAAGUACCGAGAUGUGGGUUAAAACAUAUCUAAUAUUUUGAAAAUUUGCAAAAAUUGGUUGUAAACCAUAAUUUCUUCUACCCUUAAAAAUUAUCAUUUAGAACGUUGCUUUCUAAGCGAUGGUUUGUAGUCCCAGAAAAUGAAGCAAAUGCAUUGGUAUGCAACACAAGUAUUAUAAGUACAAUAAUAAAAUGAAAACUCAAACAGUGUUGAAAAUAUCAGGAUUGGUGCUUAUG